AUCUAACUUUACGUGGCGAUUCCUUCUUCUUCUUCGACGCAUUUCCAAUGUCUCGCCAGAUCUGGGUUUCUCUCGCCAACCCUUCGGCUACGGUUCUCCCAAAAGCCUCCCCGUAACGCCUAAUUUAUGGUUACCUUACUCUCAUCUCCACUUCAAUACAUUCUCAGUUUAAGUCUCUGUUCCAAUUCUCUUUUUGAAGGCGGUUCGAUUUCUCACCAAACUGAAGCUAAAAAAAAAAGGGGAUUUCCCAAUUAUACAUUUCUGACUUGGAGACUGGUCGUUUUGAGGACGUGGUGGUGACACGUCUUCUUCAAUUAUGGGAGUGGGUACUCUGAAGAAAGGAGACGAGCUUAUUGGUGGUGAACAUGGUAUUGCUUGACAAGAAGUCGAUGUUGAUACAAGGUACCAUCACCGCACAUCGGCUCUACAGUUUUAAAAAUCUACUGAGUGAAGGCGCUGUCUACGAGCUUAGUGUGUUCUAUAUUGCUAGAAGCAAUAAUCACUUCAAACUGUGGGCCUCUCCUGUCUGUAUUCGAUUUACCGAGCAUACCAGCUUUGUCGAGGUUGUACUACCUCAGUUUCGGGUGUAUAUUACAAUUAUGUACAUUUCAGAUAUUUUUGGUCAGGAUAGGAGUAUACACACCAUCUACAAUGACGAAAACGAGUCGAUACAGCGUGUUAUGGUCACGAUCCAGCUGGACAGGUCAACCACUGUGUGUCAGUGUGUUUGAUAAGGUUGCGUGACAAGUUAGUACUCUUGGAUGUGGAGACAAAAGGUCGCUUAGUCCUAAACGUCACAUUAGGGACACAGUUCUACUUUUAUCAUGAAAGCCAAGCCACUCAGUGUUUCUUAAAAGAGUCUGUUAUUUCUUCCUACAAUUACUUACUACUUCACGAUUAUUACGACGUUAGUUCCCACAUUAAACAUACCAGAUGCAGGCUCUGCAGAGCAGAGAGUGGUUCCUCUGGUAUAUCUUCCAAAAUAUGGUGGUGUUAAGAAACUUGAAUCUGUCAGACUCUCUGAACUUAAUAUCUACGUUCUGAAUUCACCCCUACAGGUACGUUCACUGAAUAAGGAUCACUGUUAUUAUUGCAUUUAGCUCAGUUCUCAUGUGUACUGUCACAACAUGACCAAUUUACAUGUGUUGUUAUUUUUUUUGUUGUCUCUCCUUUUUCAUACUGCGCACAAUUAACCAAUCAAAACGUCUCUUACUUGAAAAUAAGAGACUUUUUUGCUGCUUGCUUUCUGCGUUUGCUCAUUUAUCUAGGCUUCACAUUUGAAAAAAAUAUUGUCAGCAACUGUGGAGUUUCUAAUAUAGCACCACACAAGCGAUGAUAUGUCUAUAGCUGUUAAACUUUCUAUGGUCCCAAAUCCAGUGGUGAAAAGCAGUUGUUCGUAUCACACAAUCGGGCCAGAUGAUGUUCCAAUUAUUGAAGGAUGUCCAGCCAGCACUGACCCAGAGCCUGCACAUACUGAUUCAGUCCUGACCUCCACCGAGACUCCCAUUGAUGAUGAAAAGGCCCCCGGUUCAAAGUAAGCUCGAAAUACUGAUCACUCCAACUAUGGAGACUUGGAAUUUGCAAAAUUCAAUUCCAUUGUUUGUUUCAAAAUUUUAUGUUUUUCUUCAAUAAUACUGUAAUCCACAUACUUUUACUCAGCACCAAAGUGUUUUUAUUUACUUAUCUUUGGUACAAUGCCAUUUAAAUAGUUGAGUUGGUUAUGAGCAUUAUUUAA
Molecule: long non-coding RNA, 1735 nt
Organism: Brassica oleracea var. oleracea
Lineage: Eukaryota; Viridiplantae; Streptophyta; Magnoliopsida; Brassicales; Brassicaceae
Exons: 4
Source: RefSeq, a predicted model, not a curated record